AGUAAUAAUUUAUCAUGAAUAAACUCUUCUCAAUUGUUACCUGAAUUUAGUCCUUUAUUAGUGCCUGAAACAAUGAUUUUAAAUAAUACUUUCCAACUUUAUACUUGUUUUUUUGCAGAGGGGAUUGCAAUACUUCCUCCCGACAUCAUUACUGGAAGUAGAGUCCUAUGGUUUAAAUCUGCAAAAAUCUGGUGUGGCCUUUGGAACAGACACAGAACAGUCUGGUUACCUUCAGAAGCCAAAGAUCUCAAAGAAUAUAGUAGAAGGUAUUGAAAGAAAAAUCUUAUUCUGAAAUUUGAGUUUGACGAAAGGACUGAGUAUUCCCUGCAAACAGGAUGGAAUGGGGUAAAUUAGUUAUGCCUGUCCACUGAAAGAAAGGAACAGAAGACACUGU
Molecule: non-coding RNA, 394 nt
Organism: Vicugna pacos (alpaca)
Lineage: Eukaryota; Metazoa; Chordata; Mammalia; Artiodactyla; Camelidae
Source: RefSeq, a predicted model, not a curated record